UGUCACAUGUUUAGUGUAAAUUGUCACAUGACCAGAGCUGUUUACUUCCUGGUUGCACCAUGAGAAGACGAUGGCUGCAUCAAAGCUCCCAAACAAAAGUUUCACUUUGAGUCAAGUUCUGGAUAUGUUGGAUCUAGGUGACUGCCCAGACAAGGCAUGCAAACAUUGCAGUUAUCCCUCAUAAUGAGAAAUAUGCUGUCCUCAGUGAUUGUGAUAGCGAUGGGUCAGAUAUGGACUAUGGACAGGCCAUUUGCCAUUGAAUGCAUAUGCUGAUCCUAUGCAAACAGAUCAUGACAGGAACAACGUUAUCAGUGAUGAUGACCUACCCCCACCCAUUGUUGAUAAUGAAGAGCCAAGGGCCUCUACCUGACCGGGAGGUCAGCCAGAAGAGCCAAGGGAAAAGCUGCAAGUGGUCAAAAAUAAAGAUUGAGUGUUCAAAUGAUCGAAGAGGCCUGCCACCGAUGUGAUUCCAAACCACAUAGUAUACAGCCCAAAUAUGCAAAAGUUUGGCACGAAACCACUGAGCCACGGAAGGAGAUCUUUACUGGCUGCUACUGUUAAAGAUCAGGCAAGAUAUGACAAAGCUUCUCACUGGCCAAUCAACAUGAUGCACCGGUUCCAGAGAUGUCGUCAUUGUGACAAACGCACUACCUAUGCAUGUGAGAAAUGCAAAGCGCCACUGUACAUUGAGUACUUCAAGAUAUACCAUGGACAGUAGAAAAGGAGAUAAGAG
This is a long non-coding RNA of Salvelinus sp. IW2-2015, 733 nucleotides long. RefSeq lists it as uncharacterized. The record is from RefSeq and is a predicted model, not a curated record. Lineage: Eukaryota; Metazoa; Chordata; Actinopteri; Salmoniformes; Salmonidae.